CGACGUAGAUAGAUAUGCAGACAAACGAAAUUCAAACGAUUGUAGGCCUAGUUUAUCUAGAAUUUUUCUCUGCAGAGAAACAUUUGCACCAUUAUUUUAAGGUGUGGUGGAUGGUUGGAGGAGAUAUGCCAUUGACCCUGGAAAGUUCUCUAGUUUCUUGAUGAGGACUUGUGAUUGUCUAGAGUCCACAGGGCGUUUCAGCACCACAGAACCUGCUUGUCUACUCUUGUGUAUCCUACUACGAGCCUUUAGAGAACAAGCAGCCCCGAUAUUGGGUGUGGUGUUGGUGGUUGGAGGAGAUACGGCAUCGACCCUGGAGAGUUCUCUAGUUUCCUGAUGAGGACUUGUGGAUCGUCUUGUGUCCAGCACCACAGAACCUGCUAGUCUACUCUUGUGUAUCCUACUACGAGCUGUUAGAGAACAAGCUGCCCAUAUUUGAUGUAGCAAUUGGUGUUGGUGGUUGGAGGAGAUACAACAUCGACCCCGGAGAGUUCUCUAGUUUCCUGAUGAGGAUGUGUGAUCGCCUUGUGUCCACGGGGCAUUUCAGCACGACUGAACCUGCUAGUCUACUCCCGCGCAGCUACUACAAGCUGUUAGAGAACAAGCAG
Molecule: long non-coding RNA, 608 nt
Organism: Macrosteles quadrilineatus (aster leafhopper)
Lineage: Eukaryota; Metazoa; Arthropoda; Insecta; Hemiptera; Cicadellidae
Exons: 4
Source: RefSeq, a predicted model, not a curated record